This 491-nucleotide ribosomal RNA is filed under the name uncultured bacterium. RNAcentral describes it as "bacterial SSU rRNA". It matches the Rfam family "Bacterial small subunit ribosomal RNA", at positions 903 to 1397 of the family's 1533-position model. The record is from RNAcentral.
AAAGGAAUAGACGGGGGCCCGCACAAGCAGUGGAGUAUGUGGUUUAAUUCGAAGCAACGCGAAGAACCUUACCGGGGCUUGACAUGGAAGCGACAGGCGUAGAGAUACGCCCUUCUUCGGACGCUUCACACAGGUGGUGCAUGGUUGUCGUCAGCUCGUGUCGUGAGAUGUUGGGUUAAGUCCCGCAACGAGCGCAACCCUUAUCGUUAGUUGCUACAUUAAGUUGAGCACUCUAGCGAGACUGCCGUUGACAAAACGGAGGAAGGUGGGGACGACGUCAAAUCAUCAUGCCCCUUAUGUCCCGGGCUACACACGUACUACAAUGGCGUCUUAACAACGGGAAGCGAAGCCGCGAGGCGGAGCAAAACCCCAAAAGGCGUCUCAGUUCGGAUUGCAGGCUGCAACCCGCCUGCAUGAAGUCGGAAUUGCUAGUAAUCGCGAAUCAGCAUGUCGCGGUGAAUACGUUCCCGGGCCUUGUACACACCGCCCGU